UGGGACUGAGACACGGACCAGACUCCUACGGGAGGCAGCAGUGGGGAAUAUUGCGCAAUGGGCGCAAGCCUGACGCAGCAACGCCGCGUGGGGGAUGAAGCUUUUCGGAUUGUAAACCCCUUUCCACCCGGAUGAAUGACCCCCAUGGGUUUGACGGUACUGGUAUCAAAAUCCCCGGCUAACUCCGUGCCAGCAGCCGCGGUAAUACGUAGGGGGC
This 217-nucleotide ribosomal RNA is filed under the name uncultured bacterium. RNAcentral's name for it is "partial 16S ribosomal RNA". It matches the Rfam family "Bacterial small subunit ribosomal RNA", at positions 314 to 535 of the family's 1533-position model. The record is from RNAcentral.